UCUUCAAGAAUUUUCUUGAGAAUGUGCAA
This 29-nucleotide non-coding RNA is filed under the name Mus musculus (house mouse). The record is from RNAcentral. Lineage: Eukaryota; Metazoa; Chordata; Mammalia; Rodentia; Muridae.